ACCCGCUGAACUUAAGCAUAUCAAUAAGCGGAGGAAAAGAAACUAACAAGGAUUCCCCUAGUAACGGCGAGUGAAGCGGGAUGAGCUCAAAUCUAAAAUCUGGUAGUCUUUGGCUGCCCGAGUUGUAAUCUAGAGAAGCGUUUUCCGCGUUGGACUGUGUACAAGUUUCCUGGAUACGGAACAUCAUAGAGGGUGAGAAUCCCGUCCUUGACACAGACUCCCAAUGCUUUGUGAUGCGCUCUCGACGAGUCGAGUUGUUUGGGAUUGCAGCUCAAAAUGGGAGGUAAAUUCCUUCUAAAGCUAAAUAUUGGCGAGAGACCGAUAGCGAACAAGUACCGUGAGGGAAAGAAAAAGCACUUUGGAAAGAGAGUUAAACAGUACGUGAAAUUGUUAAAAGGGAAACGAUUGAAGUCAGUCGCGUCUGCUUGGACUCAGCCUUACCUCGGUUUGGUGCAUUUCCUUGUAGACGGGCCAGCGUCCAUGUUGAUCACUGGAAAAGGUGUGGGGGAAUGUGGCUCUUUCGGGAGUGUUAUAGCCCUUGCUCGUAUACGGUGAACGAUAUGGAGUGGUACAGCACGCUUCGGUGGUGCUUGUGCUGGCAUAAUGGCUUUAAACGACCCGUCUUGAAACACGG
RNAcentral lists this ribosomal RNA (634 nucleotides) under uncultured fungus. Its description in RNAcentral is "eukaryotic LSU rRNA". It matches the Rfam family "Eukaryotic large subunit ribosomal RNA", at positions 23 to 664 of the family's 3401-position model. The record is from RNAcentral. Lineage: Eukaryota; Fungi.